GGGUGACCUCAGAUCAGGUAGGGAUACCCG
Molecule: ribosomal RNA, 30 nt
Filed under: Peziza vesiculosa
Lineage: Eukaryota; Fungi; Ascomycota; Pezizomycetes; Pezizales; Pezizaceae
Also listed under: 5 other names
Description: partial 28S ribosomal RNA
Source: RNAcentral